RNAcentral lists this non-coding RNA (110 nucleotides) under Geobacillus thermodenitrificans. RNAcentral's name for it is "SAM-I sequence". It matches the Rfam family "SAM riboswitch aptamer (S box leader)". From Rfam's summary of the family: The SAM riboswitch is found upstream of a number of genes which code for proteins involved in methionine or cysteine biosynthesis in Gram-positive bacteria. The record is from RNAcentral. Lineage: Bacteria; Bacillati; Bacillota; Bacilli; Caryophanales; Anoxybacillaceae.
CUCUUGUCAAGAGAGGUGGAGGGAUGUGCCCAAUGAAGCCCGGCAACCGUCAGCGUGUCUGCUGAAAAGGUGCCAAUUCACACAAAGCGGCCUGCUUUGAGAGAUAAGAG